AUAAUAAUUAGUUUUUUAAUUGGAAACUAGAAUGAAUGAUUGGAUAAAACAUAACCUUUUUUUUUUAAAAUUUUAUAAAAUUUAAAUUUUUAGUUAAAAAGCUAAAAUUUUUUAAAAAGACGAGAAGACCCUAUAGAUUUUUAUUUAAUUAAAAUUAUUUAUUUAACUUUAAUUGAAUUUUAUUGGGGGGAUAAAAAAAUUUAAAAAACUUUUUAAAUUUAUUAACAUUAAUGUAUGAAAAAUUUUAAAAUAUAAACUAUUUAAAUUAUUAUAAAUAAAGAUUAAAAUACCUUAGGGAUAACAGCGUAAUUUUAAUUUUAAGAUCUUAUUUAAAUUAAAGAUUGC
Molecule: ribosomal RNA, 345 nt
Filed under: Gracilipsodes koghiensis
Lineage: Eukaryota; Metazoa; Arthropoda; Insecta; Trichoptera; Leptoceridae
Description: partial 16S ribosomal RNA
Source: RNAcentral